Molecule: ribosomal RNA, 433 nt
Filed under: uncultured bacterium
Lineage: Bacteria
Description: partial 16S ribosomal RNA
Rfam family: Bacterial small subunit ribosomal RNA
Source: RNAcentral
AACGAACGCUGGCGGCAUGCCUAACACAUGCAAGUCGAACGACGCCUUCGUGCUUACUUGCGCACGGGUGCGUAACGCGUGGGAAUCUUCCCCUUGCUUCGGAAUAACAGUUAGAAAUGACUGCUAAUACCGGAUGAAGUCUUCUGAUCAAAGAUUCGACGUCAAGGGAUGAGCCCGCGUAGGUCUAGGUAGGUGGUGGGGUAAAGGCCUACCACGCCUACGCUCCUUAGCUGGUCUGAGAGAAUGAACAGACACACUGGGACUGAGACCCGGCCCAGACUACUGCGCGAGGGAGGAGUGGCGAAUAUAGGAAAAUGGACGCAGGUCUGAAGCAGCAAUGCCGCGUGAGUGAUGAAGGCGGUAGAGUAGUAAAGCACUUUUACCAGGGAUGAUAAUGACGGUACCUGGAGAAUAAGCACCGGCUAACUUCGUG